GACCCACCGCCACCGGUAAGGCGGUGAAACCGAAAAGGCGAACGAAAUUGAAAAUGCGAAAAAGAAAAAGACCAGGAAUCAGGACUUCAGGAGAGAACAACUCUUCUACCCCGACAGUGAAGUCGUCGUCACGUCUGUGUCUGUGAGGUAUGGAGGGAUUCCUCCACAAGCUUUCGUUGGUCAUCAUCCUUUCUAGUUUCCAACUAUCGGCUCUUUCUUCCCUUCUUCUAUUUCUCUGUCUCCUUGUUUCUCUUCUCAUUUUCUUUUGCUACUCGGUUGGAUCCUUUGCUCUUACCCCCCUCUGUCUUAAGUUGUAAAGAAUGGCUAUUGAUCUGAAAUUGGAAUACAGCGUAUUUCUCUUUCUUCCUAUCAUAGAAAGAUGGUGUCGUCCUAUCAACGAAGCCGGGUACGCAUUAGAAGAGUGGGGAUCUGAUCGGCCUCAGCAAUGCAUGCGUGCGCCUACUCUCUUCCCUUGGACGGUGCUCCCUCGCAUGAUCAAAUAACAUCAAUCAAGAAAUUCCAUGGAGGCCUUUCUGGAACUGUCAAAUCCUUGCCAAAGUACUUAGAAGAUUUUUUGAAGCCAUAUUUUUUAGCUCCAAAAGAAGUGACUCAUUGGAGAAGUUUCUGGGGAAAGUCAAAGGGGUGGGCUUGCAAUUCAACAUAACUGAAGUCUACAACCAAGAAGUUCGGAAGCUUCAUCAGAGUUUUAGAUUUAGAUGGUUUCUAUUCCAAUUAUGAAAAGGAUCAAUGCUACCCAUCAUUGAUCACAAUCACAUUCUAAACUUCUGGGACCUAUUUUCCUUCUUUCUUUCCCAGGCCCCAAUCGACAAGGUAAUUCUGCACAUAUUCCUCAAAUCAUAUUAAGUUUUUACAUAGAGUUGUUUACAUAUCAUGCUUGUUUGCUGAUUAUAGGCUAUAUGUGGUCCUGCACUAGUUUUUUUUCCGGGAAAAUAAUAAAUUUCUGAUUACAUAUACUUUUAGAAUACCGAUAUGCUUUGUUACUUGGCAUAUUGAUAGGUCCCAUAUACUUGUCUUCACAUUGAUUCACCACUACGAGUGGAUCCAUGGCCCCUGCUCAUUCGAGGUCUAUCAAUAGGAAAAUAAAAUCAUUUAGUUAACAACUUUUACUGAUUCUCUCAUAUAUAAUUCCUUGUAUUACAAAAUUGGGUGAGUGCAUUGAAACUUUUGGCAGAGCAGAAAGAAUCUUAUCUUUAUGUGAGCAUGCUUUUAAUUAUAGCCAUCCAUGAGUAUAGACAAUAACAUUCCAGCAAAAGGAUGAUGCGUAGAAAUGUCAAAAGAUGCAAAUAUGAUGCUCUCUAGAUUAAGUAAAUGGAAUUUAUUAUGGAACGUGGGAUCUUUGCACUGUGCUUUAUGAAAUUAUAUGUUAAAGUGCAUUUUAGGAAACAUUGUCUGAACCGGUUGUAUGUGAUUGUUUCUUUUUGCACACCCUAGCUGGUUUUGAUCCCAUAAGUUGCAGGAAUACCCUCAAAAAUUGUGUAGCUUAAUACUGUUCUGUUUAUAUGCUUUUGAAUUUAGAAUCUUACUAAAAUUAUAAGACCAGUUUCUAGUUUAUGAGACAAUCCUAGUGAAAGAUAAAUGGUACCCUGAAUUCGUAUAAUAAUAAAAUGAUUACAUAAGGGUACUAAUGCCUUUUAGAAAGGUGAUUGGAAUGCCAAGAACUUAAGGGCCGGUUAUUUGUCAGAUUAUCUAUAAUAUAUAAUAUAAAGUGGAUAUUUACCUUGAGUUCUGUGUAGGUAAUAAAAGUUGAAUCCAAAUAACAUAUAUCUGUAGGAAUAAUACUUGCAGCAUAUGUGCAUAGCAUGUGGUUUUACACUAGUUUUAUAUAAAAUGGAAGAGUAUCAAAUUGAAGGGUUAGGAUGAUCGGAUCCUCUAUGAUCCAGUGGAGACAAUUCUCUAUUGGCCCAAUGAAAUAGUGCCUGGUUGCCUACUUAGGAAGUGACAGAAGCGCCCUGACGUGGAGAAAUCGCUUAGCUGUUUCUUGCCACUUGUGAAAGAAAAGCUGAAACUCUCUGCACUUGACAGCAAUAAGGGGAAAUUGAGAAGUGGUGGAAGAAUGAUUGAAGUGGAUUACUAGAUUUGCAAGUAAACCAUCAGUUAUGCCUGAAGUGGUAAAAGUUCUAUGUUCACACAAUAAAGAGUUUAGAGUUCUUAAUGGGCAAGCACCGAGUUGUAAAAGUUAGCCAAAGCCAAGGUUGAUCCCACUUUCCAAGUCCUUGACAGGGUGGUUCAUUGUAGCAUUAUCAAAUCUGGAUGAUGAAGACUACUAAACGAAAUCAAUUUUACAGAACUUUAGAGAUAAAAACUGAAGCCCACCCAAUUGACGAAAAUGAACUCUAGAAAAAGUUGGCUUGUUUCUUUCCAAUAUUUGGUGGCUCAGUGUCUCCUCUUGUCAAGUUGAUCAAUCACUACCACAGUCCACUAAAACAAGAAUCUUAUCCGUGGCCCUUCCUCGAUCGAUUUCAGACAUCUGGGCUGUAUUGAUUCCAUGAGAACACGGUUCCUUUCAGUUUUAGCCGACCAUUUAUCCAAAUAGAAGCAGACGACUUUCAAACAGUAUUUAAGAUGUUCAGUCCACAUGCAUUUGGUCCAUUUGGCAUCCAAUGAUCCAUUAUCGAACUGUUACGUCAGUUCUCAAUUAAUUUUCCUCUGGCCCCUUGGAUUCAGUGAUAUUAAACAUCCAAUCAACCUAAAUAUUCUGGCCCUUUGUGAAUGACUUUUGCCAGAUUACGAUUGAUUGAUGAGAAUGAUGGAAUGAACAAGCAUGGUUUGGAGGUUACCAUCACAUAAUGCAAAAGCACCAUGUAAAAAUUUCAACUGCAUCGUGACUAUGCUGGAUAGGAUUAUUAUAGUUCUCUCUCUUUCACUCAAGCCAGAUUUGAGAUUUUACCUAAAACAACUCAGAGAAAGGUUUAUUUCACUUGACAGAAUCUCCCAGAAACCAUGAUUUUAAAAUACACCCAAGACCCAACUACUGCUACAUUAUUCGGCAUUCCCAACAAACCAUGAUUUUAAAAUAUACCCAAGACCCAACUACUGCUACAUUAUUCGGCAUUCCCAACAAACCAUGAUUUUACUUCAAAUAUACAUAUAUAUAUAUAUAUAUAUAUAUAUAUAUAACAAUAGAAGAACAUAAACAGUGAAUACAUGAAACUUUCUUUUACAACAUGAAUGGUCAUCCUACCUCCCAUAGCAGACAAAGCGACAAGCUAUCAAGCUUGUAACUCCCGCAAAGUGGUCCUUUCUUACAUACCAACCAAUCAUAGACAGAUUCCUGUUAAAGCAAUACUUUACUCUUAAGUGUUUUGUCUUAAACCAAAGAGAGAGCUUAGCCCCUUCCUUUGUUGCUUUAGCUCCACAAUUACAGAAUAAUCUUAAGAGUUAAAAAA
Molecule: long non-coding RNA, 3407 nt
Organism: Nelumbo nucifera (sacred lotus)
Lineage: Eukaryota; Viridiplantae; Streptophyta; Magnoliopsida; Proteales; Nelumbonaceae
Source: RefSeq, a predicted model, not a curated record